Molecule: long non-coding RNA, 2302 nt
Filed under: Cricetulus griseus (Chinese hamster)
Lineage: Eukaryota; Metazoa; Chordata; Mammalia; Rodentia; Cricetidae
Description: lncRNA (ENSCGRG00015028994.1)
Source: RNAcentral
AGUUUCAUAAUGACAGAAUACUUUUAAUGGCAGAACUGUCUGUUUUUACCACAUGGCUAUUUGCAAUAAUGACUUUACUUCUUCCCUCCUUGCAUGGGCCUAGGUGCCACCAUGCUACUAGUUGUGACUAGUGUGAUAGAAGUUGAAGUGGUGUGUGCAGCACUGGGGACAGUCUUCUAAGGAAAUGACUCACCAUUCUUGUACUUCCCCCUGUUGGUUGAAAUCAGACCUGCCAUGCCAGGCUCCAAAAGGAAGGCAGAACCCAAGUGAAGGAGCAGGGUUCUUGAUACUGAAAUACCACAAUCAGCCCCAGAUUUCCAAGAAGAGAGAGAGAGAGAGAGAGAGAGAGAGAGAGAGAGAGAGAGAGAGAGAGAGAGACCAAGGAUAAGCCACCAUCAUCAGAAGUUGUGUUGAUACUCAGCCAGCAUCACUCCUGCUUAGUACUCACCAACAUCUGCAGAGCCUUGUUCCAAUGACCUGCUCACUGGUCCUCUGUUCUGCUCAUCUAACCCACAAGGUGGAUGUUUCUGUGAUGAACUUAGCCCUGCCUGAAUCAUUCCAGCUGCCUCCCUACUUUAAGAUUAUCUGAGUGCCACUCCUAUCCCUUUGAGAUAUGCUGUCUUCUAGGUUCCUGUUCUGCUUCCAAGAAGAUCCCAAGUGUAGGGAUGGAGCUAUAGGAACUCUUCCAUCUCACUGUACCUGUUUCAUUGUUUCCCUGCUGUGCAUGAAGGUGGAUAGUCUGCAAAGAGAAUUACGGCGUGGGUUCGAAUAAUUGUUUCAUCUUCAGAAACCUCACUUUAUUGAUGAUAAAGUCAUCUCUGGAUGCACCAUAGCUACCUCACUGUGGUGGGUGUCAGAAGAGGAACCUGAUUGGAGGAUGCUGUAGCAGCUGAUCACAGUGUCUGCAAGCACAGACUAACCCAACAUCACAGAAGAGGAAGUGCAAAAGCUUCGAAGGGUCCUUUCCAGAUGAAUUGCCCACAACACACGACUUCCCAUUAUAUUUCAGCACCAUGCACAUUGCACUCAUAUGUUACAUCCCAGAACCAAGGAAGAAAAGAUUUGUUUUUUUCUUUUAUGAAUAAAAUAAGCAUCUUUAACAUGACCCAAUAAAGCAAAACAACAACAAAAAUGGCGGCUCACUGUUGCUAGUAUACUAUGUAGAAUGGGAAGGAGUCUCUGUUACUCAUGAAUGUUAGUACUCAUGACAGAAUAUCUUUGGAAUUUUGGAGAUGCAGAGUGUCACAAAUAGGUAUUUCAGAGUGCAUGCCUCUACCUGAGAGAACUGAGAGCUGAGAGAGAAGUCUGUAAUCAAAUCUCCUGAAACAUGACAGAUGCUGUUAGUCAGGGGUGGGAGUUCAGGCUUGUAAUACAAGCAUUAUGGAGGCUGAGGUAGGGGGGAUAAUGGAUUAAAGAUAACCUGGGGUAUAUAGUGGGACCCCAUCUUUAAAAAAAAAAAAAGUCCUGCUGGACAGCUGUAGUGCCCUCCUUUAAUCCCAGCACUUGGGAGGCAGAGGCAGAUGGAUCUCUGUAAGUUUGAGUCCAGCAUGGUCUACAAGAGCUAGUUCCAGGACAGGUUCCAAAGCUACACGGAGAAAGCCUGUCUUGAAAAACAACACAAAGUCCUUAUAUUGUAUAUGAAGCCAAGAGGUAAUAAUUAUAGUGAUUCCUUUUGUAUCAAAUAAACAACCAACUCCAUCACAUAAUUACUUAGUAGAACACUCAAGAAGCUACUCCCUCAAGGUGCAUAUUCAGUUGAAUACAAGAGUUAAGAAAUGGCAAAAGCAGGAAUUAGGGAAGGAAGCAUGCUCUGAGAGACCACAAGAUAAGGGGGUCAUGAAAAGGAAUUUAAGCACCAAAGCAAACUUCCUCAAAAAGGUGUAUCACAGAAUGACCACUAGUCAAAAGAUAACAGAGCAGGAAAAUCUCAGAAGCCCACCCAAAGUAGUUCAUGGUAAAUUUUUAGAUUUUUAAAAUCAUUGUAUCUGAAAAUCAAGGUUGGUUUCUAUGAGAGUAAAAAUCGUUUUUACACACAUGUGCAAACACAUACAGGAUGCAAUGAUCAAGAGUGUUAAACAAGAACUAAACAUUAACUCAGUAUCUGAGAAAACGGUAAUUAUUAUAUACAGGUAAGGACCAGUGACUGUGGGAUGUGUGGCACUCAUUGGGAAAAAUGCAAAUAUAGAUGAAACUAACACAGUUUCCCCCCAGAAAGGCACAUCACUAAAGAAUACCUUUUAAAAGGUAACAGAGUGGGGCUGGGAAGAUGGAUCCAGGUUAAGAGCACUUGCUGUUCUUCCAG